This 253-nucleotide unclassified non-coding RNA is filed under the name uncultured Sandaracinaceae bacterium. RNAcentral's name for it is "contains 16S-23S intergenic spacer region". It matches the Rfam family "Bacterial small subunit ribosomal RNA", at positions 524 to 776 of the family's 1533-position model. The record is from RNAcentral. Lineage: Bacteria; Pseudomonadati; Myxococcota; Polyangiales; Sandaracinaceae.
GACAGAGGGUGCAAACGUUGCUCGGAAUCACUGGGCGUAAAGCGCGUGUAGGCGGAUCCGCAAGUCGGGUGUGAAAUCCCCGGGCUCAACCCGGGAACUGCAUCCGAAACUGCGGGUCUUGAGUGCCGGAGAGGGAAGCGGAAUUCCUGGUGUAGAGGUGAAAUUCGUAGAUAUCAGGAGGAACACCGGUGGCGAAGGCGGCUUCCUGGACGGCAACUGACGCUGAGACGCGAAAGCGUGGGGAGCAAACAGG